This 546-nucleotide long non-coding RNA is filed under the name Phasianus colchicus (ring-necked pheasant). Its description in RNAcentral is "lncRNA (ENSPCLG00000009172.1)". The record is from RNAcentral. Lineage: Eukaryota; Metazoa; Chordata; Aves; Galliformes; Phasianidae.
UAAGCGUGUAAGGGGGGCACCAGGCCAAGCUGUAGGAGAUCCCUCAGAUGCUGUGAAUAAAAGUUGAACAGAUUCCUUAUACAGAGGUGAAAAGAUACUGAUCAAAGUGUCAUAAAAACAAUGUUGACAGUAAUUACUGUUAUUCACUGUCCUUACAAAAUGAUGCCUGCUCACACCUGUGACAGCCAGCGUCGUCCCCACUCUGGAAUGGUGUGUGGAGUUACUCUUUCCAUUAAAGGUGUGUUAUGGCAUUGUUUCAUUUCUCCUCAGUGUCUGAAUGAGUCUGAACAAUGAUGAAAUGCCUCCCAGGGGAGUUGGCAGCUUUCUGAAGACUGAAGGAUUGUGGCAGGAUUUUGUAUUCCUGAAGCUGCUGCUGUUGGAAAGGAGAAGAAUCUUUCAUUCCCAUCUUAAAGGACUGAACUGUCUCUCAAGCUUUUAUAUGAUAUAUCAUUGUUAGCAAUGUCUCCAAGGCACUAAUAAUGAGAAUGCUCGCUAGCAUUGGCAUGGUAAAGUAAAAACUAUUAAUAAAUAAGACUAAGUCCAUCA